RNAcentral lists this unclassified non-coding RNA (345 nucleotides) under soil metagenome. RNAcentral describes it as "partial contains 5.8S ribosomal RNA, internal transcribed spacer 2, and large subunit ribosomal RNA". The stretch from base 1 to 120 matches the Rfam family "5.8S ribosomal RNA", at positions 35 to 154 of the family's 154-position model. The record is from RNAcentral.
GAUGAAGAACGUAGCGAAAUGCGAUACGUAAUGUGAAUUGCAGAAUUCAGUGAAUCAUCGAGUCUUUGAACGCACAUUGCGCCCUCUGGUAUUCCGGAGGGCAUGCCUGUCCGAGCGUCAUUGCUGCCCUCAAGCACGGCUUGUGUGUUGGGCUCCGUCCCCCGAUCCCGGGGGACGGGCCCGAAAGGCAGCGGCGGCACCGCGUCCGGUCCUCGAGCGUAUGGGGCUUUGUCACCCGCUCUGUAGGCCCGGCCGGCGCUUGCCGAUCAACCAAAUUUUUAUCCAGGUUGACCUCGGAUCAGGUAAGGAUACCCGCUGAACUUAAGCAUAUCAAUAAGCGGAGGA